AACGUACGCUGGCGGCACGCCUAACACAUGCAAGUCGAACGAAGUAGCAAUACUUAGUGGCAGACGGGUGAGUAACAUGUAGGUAUCUGCCCUUUGGCCUGGAAUAACACGAGGAAACUUGUGCUAAUACCGGAUAAGUCUUUACGGAGAAAGCUUUAUGCACCAUUGGAUGAGCCUGCACUUGAUUAGUUUGUUGGUGGGGUAAUGGCCUACCAAGACUGUGAUCAAUAGCUGAUUUGAGAGGAUGAUCAGCCACAUUGGGACUGAGACACGGCCCAAACUCCUACGGGAGGCAGCAGUGGGGAAUCUUGCACAAUGGAGGAAACUCUGAUGCAGCGAUGCCGCGUGAGUGAAGAAGGCCCUUGGGUUGUAAAGCUCUUUCGUCGGGGAAGAAAAUGACUGUACCCGAAUAAGAAGGUCCGGCUAACUUCGUGCCAGCAGCCGCGGUAAUACGAAGGGACCUAGCGUAGUUCGGAAUUACUGGGCUUAAAGAGUUCGUAGGUGGUUGAAAAAGUUAGUGGUGAAAUCCCAGAGCUUAACUCUGGAACUGCCAUUAAAACUUUUCAGCUAGAGUAUGAUAGAGGAAAGCAGAAUUUCUAGUGUAGAGGUGAAAUUCGUAGAUAUUAGAAAGAAUACCAAUUGCGAAGGCAGCUUUCUGGAUCAUUACUGACACUGAGGAACGAAAGCAUGGGUAGCGAAGAGGAUUAGAUACCCUCGUAGUCCAUGCCGUAAACGAUGUGUGUUAGACGUUGGAAAUUUAUUUUCAGUGUCGCAGGGAAACCGAUAAACACACCGCCUGGGGAGUACGACCGCAAGGUUAAAACUCAAAUGAAUUGACGGGGACCCGCACAAGUAGUGGAGCAUGUGGUUUAAUUCGAAGAUACGCGCAGAACCUUACCAACACUUGACAUGUUCGUCGCGACUCUAAGAGAUUAGAGUUUUCGGUUCGGCCGGACGAAACACAGGUGCUGCAUGGCUGUCGUCAGCUCGUGUCGUGAGAUGUUGGGUUAAGUCCCGCAACGAGCGCAACCCUCACUUUUAGUUGCCAUCAUUAAGUUGGGCACUCUGAGAGAACUGCCAGUGAUAAGCUGGAGGAAGGUGGGGAUGACGUCAAGUCCUCAUGGCCCUUACGUGUUGGGCUACACACGUGCUACAAUGGUAUCUACAACAGGAAGCAAGACUGCGAAGUUAAGCAAAUCCCUAAAAGAUACCUCAGUUCGGAUUGCACUCCGCAACUCGAGUGCAUGAAGCUGGAAUUACUAGUAAUCGUGGAUCAGCGUGCCACGGUGAAUGCGUUCCCGGGUCU
Molecule: ribosomal RNA, 1306 nt
Filed under: uncultured bacterium
Lineage: Bacteria
Description: bacterial SSU rRNA
Rfam family: Bacterial small subunit ribosomal RNA
Source: RNAcentral